Molecule: ribosomal RNA, 421 nt
Filed under: uncultured bacterium
Lineage: Bacteria
Description: partial 16S ribosomal RNA
Rfam family: Bacterial small subunit ribosomal RNA
Source: RNAcentral
AAUUUUUCACAAUGGGGGAAACUCUGAUCCAGCCAUCCCGCGUGUGCGGUGAAGGUCNNNGGGUUNUCAAGCACUUUUGUCAGNGACNAAAUCGUACAGGCUAGUAUCCUGUUCGGAUGACGGUACCUGACGAAUAAGCACCGGCUAACUACGUUCCAGCAGCCGCGGUAAUACGUAGGGUGCAAGCGUUAAUCGGAAUUACUGGGCGUAAAGGGUGCGAAGGCGGUUUAUCAAGAAAGGUGUAAAAUCCCCGGGCUUAACCUGGGAAUGGCACUUUUAACUGAUAGGCUGGAGUAUGUCAGAGGGAGGUAGAAUUCCACGUGUAGCAGUGAAAGGCGUAGAGAUGUGGAGGAAUACCGAUGGCAAAGGCAGCCCCUGGGAUAAUACUGACGCUCAUGCACGAAAGCGUGGGGAGCAAACA